UUCGGAAUAACUCAGGGAAACUUGAGCUAAUACCGGAUACGUCCUUAGGGAGAAAGAUUUAUCGCCCCUGGACGGGCCCGCGUCGGAUUAGCUUGUUGGUGGGGUAACGGCCCACCAAGGCGACGAUCCGUAGCUGGUCUGAGAGGAUGAUCAGCCACACUGGGACUGAGACACGGCCCAGACUCCUACGGGAGGCAGCAGUGGGGAAUCUUGCACAAUGGGCGAAAGUGAUGCAGCCAUGCCGCGUGAGUGAUGAAGGCCUUAGGGUUGUAAAACUCUUUCAUCGGUGAAGAUAAUGACGGUAGCCGAAGAAGAAGCCCCGGCUAACUCCGUGCCAGCAGCCGCGGUAAUACGGAGGGGGCAAGCGUUGUUCGGAAUUACUGGGCGUAAAGCGCACGUAGGCGGACUGGUCAGUUGGGGGUGAAAUCCCGAGGCUUAACCUCGGAACUGCCUUCAAUACUGCCAGUCUUGAGAUCGGAAGA
This 482-nucleotide ribosomal RNA is filed under the name uncultured bacterium. RNAcentral's name for it is "bacterial SSU rRNA". It matches the Rfam family "Bacterial small subunit ribosomal RNA", at positions 137 to 655 of the family's 1533-position model. The record is from RNAcentral.